This 795-nucleotide ribosomal RNA is filed under the name Triticum aestivum (bread wheat). RNAcentral's name for it is "partial small subunit ribosomal RNA". The record is from RNAcentral. Lineage: Eukaryota; Viridiplantae; Streptophyta; Magnoliopsida; Poales; Poaceae.
AUGCCAUCCGAUAGGGCGCCGGGGCCGGACGGCUUCACAGGCAUGUUCUUCAAGGUUUGCUGGGAGAUCAUCGCUGCAGACUUCAUGGCCGUCAUGAAGGCACUGUAUGAGGGACGGUUCGCUUCUUUUGGAGACCUGAACAGCUCCAUUCUCACAUUGCUGCCUAAAAAGAGUGAUUCUCUGGACAUCAGCGAUUUCAGGCCGAUUAACAUCAUCCAUGGUGCAGCGAAGAUUUUCGCCAAGGUUUUAGCUGUUCGGCUGGCCCCUAUGUUACCGGCUCUAAUAUCGCAGGCUCAGAGUGCUUUCGUCAGCAGACGCAACAUCCACGAGAACUUCAAAUUUGUGCGCAACACUGCUAAGCUGCUACACAGUAAGAAGCUACCGUCGGUACUCAUGAAAAUAGAUAUUUCUAAAGCCUUCGACACUUUAUCUUGGGAAUUUCUCCUGGAGGUUUUGAUAAAAAGGGGCUUUGGAUCGAGGUGGUGCGCCUGGAUCUGCGGGCUUCUAUCCACGGCCUCCUCCUCCGUACUCAUCAAUGGUGAGCUCUCGGAGGCCUUCGCUCUCGGUCAGGGAGUCCGUCAAGGAGACCCCCUUUCGCCAGCUCUUUUCAUCCUGACCAUGGACACCAUCCAUUGCAUACUACAGUGGGCAGCACAACAGAAAUUACUCUCUGAUCUGGGAUGUCAAAGCAAGGUGCCUAGGACAUCUAUAUUCGCUGACGAUGCAGUUAUGUUCUUCAGAACAGUGCCCUCGGACCUGCGGGUUAUCUUUGCCACUGUCUAUCUUCAAGCUUAG